CCUACGGGUGGCAGCAGUGAGGAAUAUUGGUCAAUGGACGAGAGUCUGAACCAGCCAAGUAGCGUGAAGGAUGACUGCCCUAUGGGUUGUAAACUUCUUUUAUAUGGGAAUAAAAUGUUGCAGGUGUGGGAUUUUGUAUGUACAAUAUGAAUAAGGAUAGGAUAACUCCUUGCCAGCAGACGCGGUAAUACGGUGGAUCCGAGCGUUAUCCGGAUUUAUUGGUCUUACAGGGAGCGUAGGUGGAUUGUUAAGUCAGUUGUGAAAGUUUGCGGCUCAACCGUAAAAUUGCAGUUGAUACUGGCAGGCUGGAGUACAGUAGAGGUGGGUGGAAUUCGUGGUGUAGCGGUGAAAUGCUUAGAGAGCACGAAGAACUCCGAUUGCGAAGGCAGCUCACUGGACUGCAACUGACACUGAGGCUCGAAAGUGUGGGUAUCAAACAGGAUUAGAUACCCGAGUAGUC
This 460-nucleotide ribosomal RNA is filed under the name uncultured bacterium. RNAcentral's name for it is "partial 16S ribosomal RNA". It matches the Rfam family "Bacterial small subunit ribosomal RNA", at positions 338 to 795 of the family's 1533-position model. The record is from RNAcentral.